Molecule: long non-coding RNA, 354 nt
Organism: Pieris brassicae (large cabbage white)
Lineage: Eukaryota; Metazoa; Arthropoda; Insecta; Lepidoptera; Pieridae
Exons: 3
Source: RefSeq, a predicted model, not a curated record
AUAGAAGAUUAAGGGUUGACAUUAAGAACUACGAUAAAGUAGAAAAGGUUCCAAAUUGGGUUAAUAUAAGAGAAGAAUGUCUUGUAAGACUAUCCUCUAAAGUAAAAUGAAGAAAUUUAAACCAAAAUUGAUGUAGAAGGUGUACAAAACUAAACUAUAAACUAAAGAAGUUGCUAAUGAUCUGUUACGGCGCAGGUCGUUCAAUAUAACAUCCGUAACAAUAUUUUUAUAAGUUGGUAUGUAUAAAUAAAAAUUAAUCAAUUAUAUGCAGUGUACCAUGUAACUUCCUUCGAUUUAACGUCGAACUCCCUAAAGCGUCGAAAUCAAUUGGCUUUGGUUGGUUUAACUUGUCUU